This 241-nucleotide long non-coding RNA is filed under the name Lathyrus oleraceus (garden pea). RNAcentral describes it as "Pisum sativum (pea) long non-coding RNA (PSAT_LNC012993)". The record is from RNAcentral. Lineage: Eukaryota; Viridiplantae; Streptophyta; Magnoliopsida; Fabales; Fabaceae.
GAUGAUUCAUGAUCAUCUAUCAACAAGUUUGGAUCAAAAAAAGGUUGAUCAACCUCAAGUCCAUCUAUCAAUGAUUUGAGGUGAGGAAGAAUUCAUCCACCAAGCUAUCAAACUCAAUUCAAAAACAUCAAAUGAUCAUCAAAAGAAAAUAAAAAUCAAUUAAUAAUGAUUUAAUAUUGAUUAAAUAAAGAAAAUAAAAGGGAAAAUGUCAAAGAGGGGUCAAAGCAUCAAACAAAAAUUC